GACAAACGCUGGCGGCGUGCCUAAAACAUGCAAGUCGAACGGACUCUUCGGAGUCAGUGGCGGACGGCUGAGUAACACGUAGGUGACCUGCCCUUGAGUGGGGAAUAACGGUCCGAAAGGAUCGCUAAUACCGCAUACGACCGCUGCAUUUUGGUGUGGUGAGGAAAGCCGAAAGGCGCUCGAGGAGGGGCCUGCGUCCGAUUAGCUAGUUGGUGGGGUAAAGCCUACCAAGGCGACGACGGUAGCUGGUCUAAGAGGAUGAUCAGCCAGACUGGGACUGUGACACGGCCCAGACUCCUACGGGAGGCAGCAGUUAGGAAUCUUGGGCAAUGGGCGAAAGCCUGACCCAGCAACGCCGCGUGGGUGACGAAGGCCUUCGGUCGUAA
RNAcentral lists this ribosomal RNA (386 nucleotides) under uncultured bacterium. Its description in RNAcentral is "bacterial SSU rRNA". It matches the Rfam family "Bacterial small subunit ribosomal RNA", at positions 28 to 428 of the family's 1533-position model. The record is from RNAcentral.